AGAUUCACCUGGGGGAGAUUUAACCCUCUGUAGGGGGCAGAAUAAUAGUCCUCCCCCAGAACGUCCAGACCCUAAUCCCGGGAACCUGAGAACAAUGUGUCACCAUCAAAAAGGACUUUGCAGGUGUAAUUAGGUUAAGGUCAUUGAGAUGUUGAUCGAGUUCUGCAUGAUCCAGAUGGGCCCAAUAUAAUCACCUUAAAGGUAGAGGAGGAGGUCCGAGUGAGGUGACGUGAGGAGGUCUCCAUCCACCUUCACUGGCUGGGAAGACGGAGGAAGGGGCCGUGAGCUGACGAAUGGGGGCGGCUUCUAGAAGCUGGAAAGGUUUUUAAGCUGGGACAUCAGUCUUGUCCUACCUUCAGACUCAGACUGGAAGCCCACCAUCAACUUCCCUGCAUCUGCAGAUUGCUGACUGAAAAAGAGAUUGGAACGUCUCAGCCUCCAUAAUCACGGCUGGAGUAUAGCAACGUCCUUGAAAACUGCCUAGUUGCACAGGGCUCUCUGCCCCGACAUCAAGCGGCACAUAGCACAUAUUGAGCUCCGCGUGGAUCAUCUGGUUAAUUCUCCAACACCCACUGAGUGACGACACCUAAAUCUCACAUGGAGUCAUGGCAUUCUACGUGCCUGGGAGAUUCUAGAUGCCCUGGAGAUUCUAGUUUGGGAAGGCUGGCAUGAGGCUCUGAUAGCUGAUUUUUUAAUAAAGCUCCAGAGACGAUUCUGCUGCAUAGUAGGUUUGAUUAUCAUCUGAUGAGUUUCGAUUUUCAUGUAAUACUUCUUUUUGAGUGAUGCUGGCCUUGACUGUGUCAUCACUUGAGUGUCUAAUAACUCUUGAGUCUUCAAUAA
Molecule: non-coding RNA, 840 nt
Organism: Sus scrofa (pig)
Lineage: Eukaryota; Metazoa; Chordata; Mammalia; Artiodactyla; Suidae
Source: RefSeq, a predicted model, not a curated record